GCUAACUCUGUGCCAGCAGCCGCGGUAAUACAGAGGGUGCAAGCGUUAAUCGGAAUUACUGGGCGUAAAGGGAGCGUAGGUGGCUCUAUAAGUCAGAUGUGAAAUCCCCGGGCUUAACCUGGGAACUGCAUCUGAAACUGUAGAGCUAGAGUAUGUGAGAGGAAGGUAGAAUUCCAGGUGUAGCGGUGAAAUGCGUAGAGAUCUGGAGGAAUACCGAUGGCGAAGGCAGCCUUCUGGCAUAAUACUGACACUGAGGCUCGAAAGCGUGGGUAGCAAACAGGAUUAGAUACCCUGGUAGUCCACGCCGUAAACGAUGUCUACUAGUCGUUGGGUCCCUUGAGGACUUAGUGACGCAGCUAACGCAAUAAGUAGACCGCCUGGGGAGUACGGCCGCAAGGUUAAAACUCAAAUGAAUUGACGGGGGCCCGCACAAGCGGUGGAGCAUGUGGUUUAAUUCGAUGCAACGCGAAGAACCUUACCUGUCUUGACAU
RNAcentral lists this ribosomal RNA (491 nucleotides) under Psychrobacter sp. Nj-77. Its description in RNAcentral is "bacterial SSU rRNA". It matches the Rfam family "Bacterial small subunit ribosomal RNA", at positions 496 to 987 of the family's 1533-position model. The record is from RNAcentral. Lineage: Bacteria; Pseudomonadati; Pseudomonadota; Gammaproteobacteria; Moraxellales; Moraxellaceae.